Long non-coding RNA from Gavialis gangeticus (Gharial), 1576 nucleotides. RefSeq lists it as uncharacterized. The transcript has 2 exons. The record is from RefSeq and is a predicted model, not a curated record. Lineage: Eukaryota; Metazoa; Chordata; Crocodylia; Gavialidae.
CCACAAGGGAGUCCAUUCAUGUGCUUGACUGUUCUGGAUACUUUCUUGAAGAGCUUCUUGGAAACUUGCUUCACAAAGCAGCUCUAAAAGUUCACCUUAGAAGGGAGAGAACUGCUGCUUUGUCCUAUCAGCAUUCCCAUACCAGCUAUCACUGAAGAAGUCUACUAGAAUCAAGAUCUGCAUCAAUGACUUAAGGAAGUGCUUCUGCAGGGCUAGUAUUCACCUAUGAUUAUAACUGUGAAGCAGCUUGGAUCAUGACAAAACAUUACUACACAAUUCAAAUGCUGCCUAAUUUCAAAUGGAAGCCAGAUAGGUACUAGAUUGACAAUCCUGAAAAAAGAAGCCCACAUACCGAUAGAAUAAAUAUCAAAAGACAGCAACCAUAUCAAUUUCCUUCCAUGGCAUCAGAAAAUCAUUCUGGAAUGAUUCUUUCUGGAAAAUCAUUCCUGGAAUGACAGUAACUGUUUCCAUACUAACGCAGGUCCUUAGCAUUGUACUGAAUCUGCCAGCACAGAGUCCCUUUUGAUAAAGACAUCUGUUUAACAGAGUUGGAGAUCCUGGUCCAAAUUUUAUUCCAUAUAGGCUACUGAACAGCUGUCAUACAGUAAUAAAUGUAGGUUAAAUUAGAAUAAUUCACUUUUAAAUAAACAGGGGCCACAAUUGUGUUACCUGUGCUCUCAGACAGACAGUCAUUUUCUCUCAACAUAAGUAAUAAAUUGAAGAGAAGCCAACUUUUGUAUUGACAAUACCACCAUCAUACAUUAACUGUCAAAAAAAAUCACAAUUCUUAUGCUUACUGAUAACAUCUGCAUUAAACAUUAGGUCACUAAAUAGCCAGCACCACUACAUUUCCUGUCGUAAUGUUGUGAUAACAAUUUUCAUAUAUUCUUGUGACUGACAUCCAUGCCACCUGCCACUUCAACAAAGACUGUUUCAAUACCAAACAGAAACUGCCAAUAUAACAAAUUUUAAAACAAAUAUUCUGAAAAGCCUUCAUAAUUUAAAAAAAAAUUGUUACAAGCUUCUAACCUUGAAUGAGGGAAACAAUGGCCAUGAAGUAAUGAGUCUCUUUAAGAUUAACGCAUGGAAACAUUUCCUAAGCUACCUCCACCAUCUUACUGUGUGCUAUUAAGAUUAAAUUUUGCUUUUAGUCCAGCUUGUAAAACACAUUAGUAAUUUAACCCAUUGCUGUCCUGAUGUGAUAAAAUUCAUAUUAUGGCAGAUGAGUAUUACAACCCAGAUCCAAGAAACAGUUUUAAUUCUUUAUCAGGAAGAUCUGUUAUGGUUAACACACUUAUUUGAUUGAUAGACUGACUGAGGGAAGACUUGAGCAGGAGUUCUGUUUUUGGAUGGUCAAAACACAAGUCUCUCAACAUACUGAAAUAAAAACACUCCUAGCAAAGUUAGUUUGCUUGCUCUGAGAAGCAAGCCCGAGCAAUUCUUCUGAAGAGACCUAAUUUUUACAGAGGAAAAUCAUGUUUUAUGAAACUGGAAUGAGCAAGGAAGGUGAAUCAGGUGCUGCAACCUCCUGCCCUCACAGCGCUGGACUAAGAAAAGUUAAUAAUAUAAACAAGAA